CAGCGUCACUACGUAGUGUCUGCGUUCACCUUUUUUCCGUAAGUGACCUGCCGAAGGAUCAAUUUUUUCGGUAAGUGACCCGCCAAAAGAUCACUUUUUUGGUGAACCGAAAAAAUAAUACUACAGCUAAUACAUGCGUCGAUACCCCUCUGGGGUAGCAUUUAUUAAAUGGAAACCAACCCCUUCGGGGUGAUGUGGUGAAUCAUAAUAAUCUUGCGGAUCGCCGGUGGCGAUGGAUCAUUCAAGUUUCUGCCCUAUCAGCUUUGGACGGUAAGGUAUUGGCUUACCGUGGCUUUAACGGGUAACGGGGAAUUAGGGUUCGAUUUUGGAGAGGGAGCUUGAAAGACGGCUUCCUAUCCAGGAAUGCAAUGGGCGCGAAAAUUGCCCAAUCUUGACACAA
RNAcentral lists this ribosomal RNA (400 nucleotides) under Amphora sp. MACC4. RNAcentral's name for it is "bacterial SSU rRNA". It matches the Rfam family "Eukaryotic small subunit ribosomal RNA", at positions 41 to 459 of the family's 1831-position model. Lineage: Eukaryota; Bacillariophyta; Bacillariophyceae; Surirellales; Surirellaceae. The record is from RNAcentral.